This 497-nucleotide ribosomal RNA is filed under the name uncultured bacterium. RNAcentral's name for it is "partial 16S ribosomal RNA". It matches the Rfam family "Bacterial small subunit ribosomal RNA", at positions 28 to 507 of the family's 1533-position model. The record is from RNAcentral.
GAUGAACGCUGGCGGCGUGCCUAAUACAUGCAAGUCGAGCGAACAGACGAGGAGCUUGCUUCUCUGACGUUAGCGGCGGACGGGUGAGUAACACGUGGAUAACCUACCUAUAAGACUGGGAUAACUUCGGGAAACCGGAGCUAAUACCGGAUAAUAUUUUGAACCGCAUGGUUCAAUAGUGAAAGACGGUUUUGCUGUCACUUAUAGAUGGAUCCGCGCUGCAUUAGCUAGUUGGUAAGGUAACGGCUUACCAAGGCAACGAUGCGUAGCCGACCUGAGAGGGUGAUCGGCCACACUGGAACUGAGACACGGUCCAGACUCCUACGGGAGGCAGCAGUAGGGAAUCUUCCGCAAUGGGCGAAAGCCUGACGGAGCAACGCCGCGUGAGUGAUGAAGGUCUUCGGAUCGUAAAACUCUGUUAUUAGGGAAGAACAUAUGUGUAAGUAACUGUGCACGUCUUGACGGUACCUAAUCAGAAAGCCACGGCUAACUACGUG